GUUUUAAUGUUGAAGAUUAGUUAUUAAUAAUUAUAAUAAUAAUAGCCAUGAUACACUUUAACACCAUGUGAAUAAAACACAGUUCUGUAAAUGGCAUAAGAGUAAGAUCGUGCUGAGUUUGGUGACUGGAGAUUUGCUGCAAGUUUUAAAUCCUGCAUAAUGAAAUCCAAAGUACUGAUGUAAAGAUUCUCUCAACAUUUGUAGCAACUAUUUGAAUAGCAUUCAUUGUUGGGGGAUAACAUUUUUGAUGCCAAGCAGAACGUUUUUUUUCCCAUAAAAAGUGAUAUAGAAUAGCUUUUAAGUGUAAAAUAUGUCAUUUGUUCAUAAUCCCAGGUUUCAUCAUUGCAGGUUGUGUGGACAUUAGUUGACCUUUUAUUUUGAAGAAAGAACAUCCCUGUUCUACAUACUAUCCAAUACUUGUUAAAUAACAUUAAAUGUGGCACUCGGAGUAAUUUGUUCUAGCAUCGGCUUUUUCAAGACACAUGAUGCAGACCAAUUAGUGACUUGGGACACACAUCUGAAGGCAUUUUGCUGGCUUAUUUGGUAUCUAUCUGAAUUAUCAGACUUGUACGCAGGGAGCUGAGUUUGUUCUUGAGUAAGGAUUGAGAUCAAAGUGACAAUUUUGGGUAACGCACAUACUUUUGUUCUUGUGAUAUUUAAUUCCAAAGGCUUUCAACUUUCUUCAUCAUUCCUUCAGCUUCUACCCACCUAUCCCUUUCCUUUUCUUGGUUGCUAAUAUGUGGAACCUGAUGCUUUUCCCAAUUAACAUUACACUUCUCUAACCUGAACAAUUUUCUACCUUUUACUUAGCUGUGAGGUGAGGCACGUACUAUAUCUCUCAGGCUAUUGCCAACCAAAUGCUUUGCUGACCAGUUCUAAAUUUCAGCUCAUAUGAGGAGUGUUUCCAAACUCGCACACAAGGAAGUACAAUUUUCUGAUGUGGGAUGAUGUAAACAGGGUCUCACAUAGAUGGUGGGUUUCCCAACUUUAUCCCUACCACAGAAAAUAUAGGGCAAAGGCAGAGGAGGAGAGAGGCUCAUCAGAAGGAAGGCUGUUGAAGUCAUGAACUAGAAUAAACAUCACAACUAAGUUGUACUGUGAUUUCCUACAGACUAUAUCUGCUCUCAGAUCAUUGCAGCUAUUUCCUUAUGGGAAGUGGGGAGUAGAAUUUAUUCCAGUAGUUCCAGAAUUAGAUUUCUCAAAGGGAGAAAGGAGUGGGGGGAAACACAAACCACUGUGGUUAUAUUGGAUGCUGAUUUAAUUUACGUUUGUGGUGAUUGGAUUGCAGUAAUUUCCCUUGGGAGCAGCUCCUGAGAUAAUAAUUUCAAAAGAGAAGCUUAGCAAUGGCGAGCUGAGAACUUCCUGAAACAGAAUGGCCUACAGAAAAAAAAUGUCUUUUUAAAGGACGUGAAAUCUUCCAUCAGUUACCAGGAUGGUAACCCAGUGGCUGGGCCAGGUCACUGCCAGGUGCAAGACUUAAGAUUUGGGCUGAAGCAGAGAGCCUCAGAGCACCAGAGGUCUUGGGGUCAGGGGAUUCACACAUUGGUGCUGACUAGAAAGCUUGUGAACAGAGUUGCUGUAACUAUAACAUUUUUCUUUUGGAGAAUACUAAGCUUUUUAACCUAUCACAUGUAUAGUGGGAAUUUUUUCUCCUUAACUGUAUGAGCUGAAGGACAAGGAAGCAAAGUGUCUUUAAUGAAAAAGAUUACAUGUCAUUCUAGUACACAGGGCACAUGCACAAAUUGUGGCUACCAGGAAUCCCAAAACACAGUCUCUUCCUUUAAUGUUGCUUCCCAUUAGAUUUUUAUGGGAAAAUAGCUGGAGAGUUUGGUACCAAUGUUGAGUGAAAUAAAUGAAUUUCCGAUUCAAAGCCAAUGAAUGUGGAAGGCCCUGCAGCAAAUCCUACUGUGUACCCUUAAAUUCUUUUUUAGGAAAACAAGCUCUAUUCUUUGGUAUGUACUAGCUCACAGUAGAGAUGCGGUAAAAAAUGAAAACCACUUUUCAAACACAUGUAUUGCAUUAAGGUAGUUCAGCCAAAAGGUAACAAGGCUAUGAAUUACCAAGAUGAGGUCAUCAUCCUAGCCAUUUGAGCAUAUUAGAAAGCACCACCCUGAGAUGUUUCUCUUGAAAGCUUUGUACAGAAACCAGUCCAACAGAUCUCUAAAGCUGAGCUGACCACCAGUGUUGUGAACUGGUUCUCUAUUUUCAGAAAUACUGCCUCUAUCCUGUCUGCAUUCAGCUACCACCUCUUCCUCACCCAAGUACUCUGGCUAUAUUUGUGGUUGUGUCUUGUUGGGUAUGUCGAUGCUGUCUGACUAGUCCACAUAGACAUUAUACAUAGGUGGCUAAAGGAAAGACAAUGGAUCCUUUCUUCUCCCUCAGUCCCACAAAUCAGUAGUAAAGUGUGGGAAGCUGCAUGCUUGGAAGCAUCCUUUGGGGAAGAAAUAUUUUUUCUCUCUUAUGUGAGACAGCAGCAUAUCAUGCUCAGCAGGGCUGAAUGUUGCAGAGGUCCAGGAGAAUGAGGGUAGCUAUCCACUGCUUAAGCCAUGAAAAGAAGAGCUUAUCCUUCAUUAUCGCAAAGGAUUUUUUUUUUUUUUCUUUUUUCAAUUACAUAUCCUGGUCUAAAUCCAGAUUGUGCCUAACCUAGAAGGUUACCUUCAAUUAGAUAUAUUUGUCAAGAUUUUCUGCAGGUUUCCUUCAGGAAAGAGAAUCUGGAUAUGGUAGGUUUGGCUAGGACUGUUGCAUCUAGGCCAGGCUUUCAGAUCAAGCCAGAUCAGCCUAUAUUUAGAAGAUGCAAGGAAGAAUCCUCCUGCCAAUGGUGCCAGCCUGUCUUGAUCCAGUACCCAGCAUUUGUCAUUUUUUUACAAGCAAGAGAGACUUCCGCAAGCCUAAUAAUAAGACUCCAUUAAAAUAACUGAAACUUC
Molecule: long non-coding RNA, 2924 nt
Organism: Aquila chrysaetos chrysaetos
Lineage: Eukaryota; Metazoa; Chordata; Aves; Accipitriformes; Accipitridae
Exons: 2
Source: RefSeq, a predicted model, not a curated record